RNAcentral lists this ribosomal RNA (468 nucleotides) under uncultured bacterium. RNAcentral's name for it is "partial 16S ribosomal RNA". It matches the Rfam family "Bacterial small subunit ribosomal RNA", at positions 28 to 507 of the family's 1533-position model. The record is from RNAcentral.
GACGAACGCUGGCGGCGUGCUUAACACAUGCAAGUCGAACGGAAAGGCCCUGCUUUUGUGGGGUGCUCGAGUGGCGAACGGGUGAGUAACACGUGAGUAACCUGCCCUUGACUUUGGGAUAACUUCAGGAAACUGGGGCUAAUACCGGAUAGGAGCUCCUGCUGCAUGGUGGGGGUUGGAAAGUUUCGGCGGUUGGGGAUGGACUCGCGGCUUAUCAGCUUGUUGGUGGGGUAGUGGCUUACCAAGGCUUUGACGGGUAGCCGGCCUGAGAGGGUGACCGGCCACAUUGGGACUGAGAUAUGGCCCAGACUCCUACGGGAGGCGGCAGUGGGGAAUAUUGCACAAUGGGCGGAAGCCUGAUGCAGCAACGCCGCGUGCGGGAUGACGGCCUUCGGGUUGUAAACCGCUUUCGCCUGUGACGAAGCGUGAGUGACGGUAAUGGGUAAAGAAGCACCGGCUAACUACGUG